Molecule: ribosomal RNA, 519 nt
Filed under: uncultured bacterium
Lineage: Bacteria
Description: partial 16S ribosomal RNA
Rfam family: Bacterial small subunit ribosomal RNA
Source: RNAcentral
GACGAACGCUGGCGGCGUGCCUAAUACAUGCAAGUCGAGCGAGUCUGCCUUGAAGAUCGGAGUGCUUGCACUCUGUGAAACAAGAUACAGGCUAGCGGCGGACGGGUGAGCAACACGUGGGUAACCUGCCCAAGAGAUCGGGAUAACACCUGGAAACAGAUGCUAAUACCGGAUCACAACAGAUGAUGCCUAUCAACUGUUUAAAAGAUGGUUCUGCUAUCACUCUUGGAUGGACCUGCGGUGCAUUAGCUAGUUGGUAGGGUAACGGCCUACCAAGGCGAUGAUGCAUAGCCGAGUUGAGAGACUGAUCGGCCACAUUGGGACUGAGACACGGCCCAAACUCCUACGGGAGGCAGCAGUAGGGAAUCUUCCACAAUGGACGCAAGUCUGAUGGAGCAACGCCGCGUGAGUGAAGAAGGGUUUCGGCUCGUAAAGCUCUGUUGUUGGUGAAGAAGGACAGGGGUAGUAACUGACCUUUGUUUGACGGUAAUCAAUUAGAAAGUCACGGCUAACUACGUG